UUUCCUCUGUCCCCGCCCCCACCCCCGGCACCCGGUCCAGAUCCUCCAGGUGUUGCAGAACUCCGCGAUCAGCGCCGGGAUCACGGGGGAGACGCGUGACGCGGUCCCUCGCCGGUGGCCCCCGCCAGCCCCGGGGUCCCCUUCUCCUCCAUCAGCGGGCAGCGCAUCCGGGGGCGCCGCGGCGAAAGAAGUUCAAACUGGGCUUUUAUUUCAAACGGGCACGGCGAAGUGAGGGGGACCGACGGGGUGUGAGGCAAAUUUAGAAAUCGUAAUAAUAAGGAAAGAAAAAAAGGAAAAUAGAAAACGGAACGAAGGAGGUUGAGAAUUUUGUUAAAUCCCUAAUCGCGGGCUCCUCGCCUCCUUCUCGAAGGAAACUGCAGCUUUGAUCUCAUUUCCAGCUGCGUCGGGUGCAUUUUGGAGCCACAAGUUGGUCUCUCUUCGCGCAGACCUUCCCGACGCUGGCGGGUCCUCCGCGAGGAGACGCGUUCCCGGGAGCGCAGCUGCUCCGCGCCGUCCUUAGCGCCAUCGCCCUGGCUCGCGGCUCCCUGCGCGGCAGAAACCCCGGUCCCCUUCCAUCCACUCCGGCCUCAACUCUCUUCCUCCCCCGCCCGCUCCCCUCCCGCCCCCCGCCCUCCCCGGAUAAAUAAAUGCGCUCCUUGUGCCCGCGGCAGCCUUUCUCCCAGCCAGUGCCACGUCCUGACGUUUUGGGUCCUAGCUCCCCAAACCUCCUCUCGGACUGCAGUCCCUUUCCUCCUCUGCCCCUCUUUCUUUCCCCUUUUCCCUUCCCUUUCUCUGCUUGUGAUCAGUAAAAUACAAUUACCCAAUUACCUCCCAUCAUCUUAGCACUGAUUGGUCAAUUGCAUUAACACUUGAAGUCGGGGACGAGGGGAUUGGAGCCUCUGCGGUGUGGCACUGCUGCCACCUGGAGGGCAGAGCCGGAACAGCUGAAUUUCAAAGCAACCCCCACGCUCCGAGAGCCAGGAGUUGGAGCUACAAAGGGGAAGACAUUGAAAUCAAAUCACCACUAGGAUUCAAAAAUAUCACCAAACGCACAAAGCUGUUGCUUUGCAGAUUGCUGUGCAAGAGACUCUCCUCUCCCUAGCCAAGCAGGCUGGUCACAAGGCAUUUGGUUGGUGAAAUGAAACUACCAUGUUGUUUCCCUGUGUGCUGGUGACUCUACCUGGUGUGAUCUUCAGCAAACAGCAGAGGACAGCAUCUUGUAACCAGAAAUACAAAAUAGCAAACAGAAGGAAUUCAGUAACUUUGCUUAAACAUUGAGAAAACAUGGACGUUUCUGUUGUGUUUAUUAAUUUGAUUUCACAGGUUUUAGGCCACUGUAUUCAAUUCAAACACUUACGAUUUGGGUGUUUAGGUUAUCAAUUCUGGGAAUAGAUAGUCCCUUUCACUCUCAAUUCUAUUAAACAGGGCCACAAUAUCCUGUGGGAUAAUCGUAUAAAGCUUGCCUCUAUCGUCACACAUAAUGACAUGUGAAUUAACUUCUUUAGAUCAACUUCUUUUGAAAACUACUUUAAUGAUAAAAAUGCCGUAUUUCGUGGGAACUUACUACAUGUGUUAUGCCAUACGAAAUGUUAUGCUAGACAAGAAUGUUGUAUUUUAGAACUAUAAGAUAUCCUAAUGGUUAUUCCUUCUUUGUUCCUUGAAAUACAGAUGAAGAUACUAAAGUCCAAGUAGCUUUGCAGAUUUGUUUCUACAAUGGCUACCUCUCCACCCAGUUUCUACCCCAUAUGGUCUUACUUUUUGGUGCUUCCCUACGUUAAAAUUUUUUUUAGCAAUAACUGGCAUUUAAUGACAUUUGUGAAUGCCAAGUUCAAAGUAUGUUCUAAGUAUGUUAUAAAUGUCAAUUCAUGCAAUCCUGUAAAUAAUUUUAUGAGUUAGGUGUAAUUAAUUACCAUCCCAUUUUAUAGAUAAUGAAAGUAGAGUUGAGGGCACCCAGCUAGAAAGUGACAGAGGCAAGAUUUUUAGCUCAGAUUAUUUUGCUUCAGAGAUCAUGGUUUUAACAGAUACUUCCUGUUAUGAUACUAGGGUGGAAAUGACUUGCUUAUAUCUGUAUUCAUCCCCCACCCCCCGCCGCCCA
This is a long non-coding RNA of Felis catus (domestic cat), 2095 nucleotides long. RefSeq lists it as uncharacterized. The record is from RefSeq and is a predicted model, not a curated record. The transcript has 3 exons. NCBI's taxonomy places the organism in Eukaryota, Metazoa, Chordata, Mammalia, Carnivora, Felidae.